CGGGGUGUGGCGCAGGUGGUAGCGCGCUACGUUCGGGACGUAGAGACCGGAAGUUCGAGUCUUCUCACCCCGACAA
Molecule: transfer RNA, 76 nt
Filed under: Marinilabiliales bacterium
Lineage: Bacteria; Pseudomonadati; Bacteroidota; Bacteroidia; Marinilabiliales
Description: tRNA-Pro
Rfam family: tRNA
About the family: Transfer RNA (tRNA) molecules are approximately 80 nucleotides in length. Their secondary structure includes four short double-helical elements and three loops (D, anti-codon, and T loops).
Source: RNAcentral